GGAGCUGUGGCCAAGCGGUUAAGGCGCCCGGCUCAUAACCGGUAGAUCGAAGGUUCGAAUCCUUCCAGCUCCACCA
This 76-nucleotide transfer RNA is filed under the name Chloroflexota bacterium. Its description in RNAcentral is "tRNA-Met". It matches the Rfam family "tRNA". From Rfam's summary of the family: Transfer RNA (tRNA) molecules are approximately 80 nucleotides in length. Their secondary structure includes four short double-helical elements and three loops (D, anti-codon, and T loops). Lineage: Bacteria; Bacillati; Chloroflexota. The record is from RNAcentral.